Molecule: ribosomal RNA, 253 nt
Filed under: uncultured bacterium
Lineage: Bacteria
Description: partial 16S ribosomal RNA
Rfam family: Bacterial small subunit ribosomal RNA
Source: RNAcentral
UACGUAGGGGGCGAGCGUUGUCCGGAUUUAUUGGGCGUAAAGAGCGUGUAGGCGGCCAGGUAGGUCUGCUGUGAAAACUCGAGGCUCAACCUCGAGACGUCGGCGGAAACCAUCUGGCUAGAGUCCGGAAGAGGAGAGUGGAAUUCCUGGUGUAGCGGUGAAAUGCGCAGAUAUCGUAAGGAAGACCAGUGGCGAAGGCGGGUCUCUGGACAGUUCCUGACGCUGAGGCACGAAGGCCAGGGGAGCAAACGGG